UGAGAAGCUGAAGGAUCAAAGGAAAAACCUCACAGAAAUAAUAGAAACCUGGAAUGGGCUCAAUGUCAGUCGAGCUCAGUGGAGCAUUGAUCAAUACUGUCCUAAAAAUAAUAGUGGGAGAAAUUGCACUUCUUGCCAGAAAGGCUGGAAUGAUCACAUGACCAGCUGUUAUGCAUAUAACUAUCAACCCCCUAAUCAGAGAACCUGGGAAGAAGCACGAGAAGACUGCAGAAGAAUGAAUUCAGAUCUGACUGUUGUGUCUAAUCAGGCUGAAAAGGAUUAUGUCAGUUCAAUCAGUAAUGGUUCAAGUGGCAUUAAUGGAUACUGGAUUGGUCUCAGAGCUGUAGGAGGGAAAUGGAAAUGGAUCGAUGGAAGUAAUCUGAC
Molecule: long non-coding RNA, 384 nt
Organism: Poecilia latipinna (sailfin molly)
Lineage: Eukaryota; Metazoa; Chordata; Actinopteri; Cyprinodontiformes; Poeciliidae
Exons: 3
Source: RefSeq, a predicted model, not a curated record